RNAcentral lists this ribosomal RNA (232 nucleotides) under uncultured bacterium. Its description in RNAcentral is "partial 16S ribosomal RNA". It matches the Rfam family "Bacterial small subunit ribosomal RNA", at positions 15 to 236 of the family's 1533-position model. The record is from RNAcentral.
GAUCAUGGCUCAGGAUGAACGCUAGCUACAGGCUUAACACAUGCAAGUCGAGUGGAAACGACAUCGAAAGCUUGCUUUUGAUGGGCGUCGACCGGCGCACGGGUGAGUAACGCGUAUCCAACCUGCCCAUCACUUGGGAAUAACCUUGCGAAAGUAAGACUAAUGCCCAAUGAUAUCCCACGAAGGCAUCCGAAUGGGAUUAAAGAUUUAUCGGUGAUGGAUUGGGAUGCGU